This 493-nucleotide ribosomal RNA is filed under the name uncultured bacterium. Its description in RNAcentral is "bacterial SSU rRNA". It matches the Rfam family "Bacterial small subunit ribosomal RNA", at positions 29 to 518 of the family's 1533-position model. The record is from RNAcentral.
AUGAACGCUAGCGACAGGCCCAACACAUGCAAGUCAGGGGCAGCACAAGGAGCAAUCUGAGGUGGCGACCGGCGCACGGGUGAGUAACACGUAUGCAACCUGCCUGUAAGCGGGGAAUAACCCGUUGAAAGACGGACUAAUACCGCAUAAUACUAAAUUACUGCAUGGUAAUUUAUUUAAACAUUUAUGGCUUACAGAUGGGCAUGCGCAUGAUUAGCUAGUUGGAGAGGUAACGGCUCCCCAAGGCAACGAUCAUUAGGGGUUCUGAGAGGAAGGUCCCCCACACUGGUACUGAGACACGGACCAGACUCCUACGGGAGGCAGCAGUGAGGAAUAUUGGUCAAUGGACGAGAGUCUGAACCAGCCAAGUCGCGUGCAGGAAGAAUGUCCUAUGGAUUGUAAACUGCUUUUGCAGGGGAAUAAAGUGCAUCACGUGUGAUGUUUUGUAUGUACUCUGCGAAUAAGGAUCGGCUAACUCCGUGCCAGCAGCAGC